RNAcentral lists this ribosomal RNA (497 nucleotides) under uncultured bacterium. Its description in RNAcentral is "partial 16S ribosomal RNA". It matches the Rfam family "Bacterial small subunit ribosomal RNA", at positions 28 to 507 of the family's 1533-position model. The record is from RNAcentral.
GAUGAACGCUGGCGGCGUGCCUAAUACAUGCAAGUCGAGCGGACGGACGCGAAGCUUGCUUUUCUGAUGUUAGCGGCGGACGGGUGAGUAACACGUGGAUAACCUACCUAUCAGACUGGGAUAACUACGGGAAACCGGAGCUAAUACCGGAUAAUAUUUUGAACCGCAUGGUUCAUAAGUGAAAGUCGGUCUUGCUGUCACUUAUAGAUGGAUCUGCGCUGCAUUAGCUAGUUGGUACGGUAAAGGCCUACCAAGGCUACCAUGCAUAGCCGACCUGAGAGGGGGAUCGGCCACAUGGGGACGUGGACAACGACCAGGCUCCUAAGGGAGGGCGCAGUAGGGAAUGGUCCGCAAUGGGGGAAAGCCUUACGGAACAACGGCGAGUGAGUGGAGAAGGUCUUCGGUUCGUAAAGCUCUGUUAUUAGGGAAGAACAUAUGUGUAAUGAACUGUGCACAGCUUGACGGUACCUAAUCAGAAAGCCACGGCUAACUACGUG